This 452-nucleotide long non-coding RNA is filed under the name Spirodela polyrhiza (greater duckweed). RNAcentral describes it as "long non-coding RNA (SPOL_LNC002644)". The record is from RNAcentral. Lineage: Eukaryota; Viridiplantae; Streptophyta; Magnoliopsida; Alismatales; Araceae.
UGCCGCUUUCCGGCCACUACAACCCCAGGGACUUCGUCCUGUCUAUCGCCAGGCCCCGGUCCGUCGUCAUCCUCGUCAAGGCUGGCGCGGCCGUCGACCACACCAUCGCCGCCCUCUGCGAGCACCUCCAGCCCGGGGACGCCAUCAUCGACGGCGGCAACGAGUGGUACCAGAACACCGAGCGCCGCCAGCGGGAGGCAGAGGCGAAGGGGCUGCUGUACCUCGGGAUGGGCGUCUCCGGCGGCGAGGAGGGCGCCCGGCGAGGGCCGUCGCUCAUGCCGGGGGGCUCGCACGAGGCCUACCUCAACGUCGAGGACCUCCUCUCGAAGGUCGCCGCGCAGGUGGACGACGGGCCCUGCGUCACCUUCGUCGGCCCCGGCGGCGCCGGCAACUUCGUGAAGAUGGUGCACAACGGAAUCGAGUACGGGGACAUGCAGCUCAUCUCUGAGGCC